AUGGACUUGAGACUCAGCUGUGCUUUAAUUGUUUUUCUUUUAAAAGGGGUCCAGAGUGAGGUGAAGCUGGAGGAGUCUGGUGGAGGCUUGGUGCAACCUGGAAGGUCCAUGAAACUCUCUUGUGUUACCUCUGGAUUUACUUUCACUAACUACUGGAUGCAAUGGGUUCGCCAGUCUCCAGAGAAGGGGCUGGAGUGGGUUGCUGAAAUUAGAUUGAAAUCUAAUAAUUAUGCAACAUAUUAUGUUGAGUCUGUGAAAGGGAGGUUCACCAUCUCAAGAGAUGAUUCGAAAAGUAGUGUCUACCUGCAAAUGAACAACUUAAGGGCUGAAGACACUGGAAUUUAUUACUGCACAGGCACAGUGAGAAGUCUUCAUUGUGAGUCUAGACACAAACUUACCUGCAGGAGCUCUCAGUACCAGCAGGGGGAGCACAGUGGACAUCGAAUCCAUAAACAGGGGCUAUUAUUUAUAGGGAUCUGGGCAGGUGAGACCACUUUCUCAGUAUUCUCUUUCCUUCCUCCACCAUCUGGAGUGGGCAUCAUGUAA
This is a non-coding RNA of Mus pahari (shrew mouse), 546 nucleotides long. The record is from the annotation of a RefSeq genome assembly. Lineage: Eukaryota; Metazoa; Chordata; Mammalia; Rodentia; Muridae.